Molecule: ribosomal RNA, 443 nt
Filed under: uncultured bacterium
Lineage: Bacteria
Description: partial 16S ribosomal RNA
Rfam family: Bacterial small subunit ribosomal RNA
Source: RNAcentral
CCUACGGGAGGCUGCAGUGGGGAAUAUUGCACAAUGGGCGAAAGCCUGAUGCAGCAACGCCGCGUGAAGGAAGAAGGGUUUCGGCUCGUAAACUUCUAUCAACAGGGACGAAAGAAAUGACGGUACCUGAAUAAGAAGCCCCGGCUAACUACGUGCCAGCAGCCGCGGUAAUACGUAGGGGGCAAGCGUUAUCCGGAAUUACUGGGUGUAAAGGGUGAGUAGGCGGCAUGGUAAGCCAGAUGUGAAAGCCUUGGGCUUAACCCGAGGAUUGCAUUUGGAACUGUGCGGCUAGAGUGCGGGAGGGGCAGGCGGAAUUCCUGGUGUAGCGGUGAAAUGCGUAGAUAUCAGGAGGAACACCGGCGGCGAAGGCGGCCUGCUGGACCGCGACUGACGUUGAGGCUCGAAAGCGUGGGGAGCGAACAGGAUUAGAUACCCGAGUAGUC